Non-coding RNA from Lepus europaeus (European hare), 273 nucleotides. The record is from RefSeq and is a predicted model, not a curated record. Lineage: Eukaryota; Metazoa; Chordata; Mammalia; Lagomorpha; Leporidae.
CGGCUGCAGCCUGGGCGCCGCGCGGGGUCGGAGGUCCCCAGCGCGCACCAGGCUUGCAGACACAGCAUAGCCCGGAGGGAGCUGAGGCAUGGCCGCCCCAGAGCCGGCGGCUCCGUGUGCAAUUUCCCUCCGAUACUCCUGGCUGCUGUUGCCACGGGGAUGAUGGCUGUGCCGUGUCAUCGUCGAUCCGCCAACAGUGAGAGAAGCCUUGCAGUCGCGAUAUUGUUUGGCAGACCGAGGGGUUUCUGUCGGACACUAAGUGCUGCUACAAAC